AUUGAACGCUGGCGGCAGGCCUAACACAUGCCAGUCGAGCGGAUGAAGGGAGCUUGCUCCUGGAUUCAGCGGCGGACGGGUGAGUAAUGCCUAGGAAUCUGCCUGGUAGUGGGGGAUAACGUCCGGAAACGGGCGCUAAUACCGCAUACGUCCUGAGGGAGAAAGUGGGGGAUCUUCGGACCUCACGCUAUCAGAUGAGCCUAGGUCGGAUUAGCUAGUUGGUGGGGUAAAGGCCUACCAAGGCGACGAUCCGUAACUGGUCUGAGAGGAUGAUCAGUCACACUGGAACUGAGACACGGUCCAGACUCCUACGGGAGGCAGCAGUGGGGAAUAUUGGGCAAUGGGCGAAAGCCUGAUCCAGCCAUGCCGCGUGUGUGAAGAAGGUCUUCGGAUUGUAAGCACUUUAAGUUGGGAGGAAGGGCAGUAAGUUAAUACCUUGCUGUUUUGACGUUACCAACAGAAUAAGCACCGGCUAACUUCGUG
Molecule: ribosomal RNA, 483 nt
Filed under: uncultured bacterium
Lineage: Bacteria
Description: partial 16S ribosomal RNA
Rfam family: Bacterial small subunit ribosomal RNA
Source: RNAcentral